RNAcentral lists this ribosomal RNA (538 nucleotides) under uncultured Acinetobacter sp. Its description in RNAcentral is "bacterial SSU rRNA". It matches the Rfam family "Bacterial small subunit ribosomal RNA", at positions 86 to 619 of the family's 1533-position model. Lineage: Bacteria; Pseudomonadati; Pseudomonadota; Gammaproteobacteria; Moraxellales; Moraxellaceae. The record is from RNAcentral.
CUGAAUUCAGCGGCGGACGGGUGAGUAAUGCCUAGGAAUCUGCCUGGUAGUGGGGGACAACGUUUCGAAAGGAACGCUAAUACCGCAUACGUCCUACGGGAGAAAGCAGGGGACCUUCGGGCCUUGCGCUAUCGGAUGAGCCUAAGUCAGAUUAGCUAGUUGGUGGGGUAAAGGCCUACCAAGGCGACGAUCUGUAACGGGUCUGAGAGGAUGAUCCGUCACACUGGGACUGAGACACGGCCCAGACUCCUACGGGAGGCAGCAGUGGGGAAUAUUGGACAAUGGGGGGAACCCUGAUCCAGCCAUGCCGCGUGUGUGAAGAAGGCCUUUUGGUUGUAAAGCACUUUAAGCGAGGAGGAGGCUCCUAUAGAUAAUACCUAUAGAGAGUGGACGUUACUCGCAGAAUAAGCACCGGCUAACUCUGUGCCAGCAGCCGCGGUAAUACAGAGGGUGCAAGCGUUAAUCGGAUUUACUGGGCGUAAAGCGUACGUAGGUGGUCUUUUAAGUCGGAUGUGAAAUCCCUGAGCUUAACUUAGGA